This 253-nucleotide ribosomal RNA is filed under the name uncultured bacterium. RNAcentral's name for it is "partial 16S ribosomal RNA". It matches the Rfam family "Bacterial small subunit ribosomal RNA", at positions 15 to 263 of the family's 1533-position model. The record is from RNAcentral.
GAUCCUGGCUCAGAUUGAACGCUGGCGGCAGGCCUAACACAUGCAAGUCGAACGGUAACAGGAAACAGCUUGCUGUUUCGCUGACGAGUGGCGGACGGGUGAGUAAUGUCUGGGAAACUGCCUGAUGGAGGGGGAUAACUACUGGAAACGGUAGCUAAUACCGCAUAACGUCGCAAGACCAAAGAGGGGGGACCUUCGGGCCUCUUGCCAUCGGAUGUGCCCAGAUGGGAUUAGCUAGUAGGUGGGGUAAAGG